RNAcentral lists this ribosomal RNA (156 nucleotides) under uncultured Capnodiales. RNAcentral describes it as "5.8S ribosomal RNA". It matches the Rfam family "5.8S ribosomal RNA". From Rfam's summary of the family: 5.8S ribosomal RNA (5.8S rRNA) is a component of the large subunit of the eukaryotic ribosome. The record is from RNAcentral. Lineage: Eukaryota; Fungi; Ascomycota; Dothideomycetes; Capnodiales.
AAAGCAAAACUUUCAACAACGGAUCUCUUGGUUCUGGCAUCGAUGAAGAACGCAGCGAAAUGCGAUAAGUAAUGUGAAUUGCAGAAUUCCGUGAAUCAUCGAAUCUUUGAACGCACAUUGCGCCCCUUGGUAUUCCGGGGGGCAUGCCUGUUCGAG